This 353-nucleotide unclassified non-coding RNA is filed under the name soil metagenome. RNAcentral's name for it is "partial contains 5.8S ribosomal RNA, internal transcribed spacer 2, and large subunit ribosomal RNA". The stretch from base 1 to 120 matches the Rfam family "5.8S ribosomal RNA", at positions 35 to 154 of the family's 154-position model. The record is from RNAcentral.
GAUGAAGAACGUAGCGAAAUGCGAUAAGUAAUGUGAAUUGCAGAAUUCAGUGAAUCAUCGAAUCUUUGAACGCACAUUGCGCCCGCCAGUAUUCUGGCGGGCAUGCCUGUUCGAGCGUCAUUACAAACCUCAGGCCCCCGGGCCUGGCGUUGGGGAUCGGCGGAAGCCCCCUGCGGGCACAACGCCGUCCCCCAAAUACAGUGGCGGUCCCGCCGCAGCUUCCAUUGCGUAGUAGCUAACACCUCGCAACUGGAGAGCGGCGCGGCCACGCCGUAAAACACCCAACUUCUGAAUGUUGACCUCGAAUCAGGUAGGAAUACCCGCUGAACUUAAGCAUAUCAAUAAGCGGAGGA